UACGGGGGGGGCAAGCGUUGUCCGGAAUCACUGGGCGUAAAGGGCGCGUAGGUGGCGACCCAAGUCCAUGGUGAAAGCUCGAUGCUCAACAUCGAGUCGGCCACGGAUACUGGGUUGCUCGAGCACUGUAGAGGCUAAUGGAAUUCCGGGUGUAGCGGUGGAAUGCGUAGAGAUCCGGAAGAACACCGGUGGCGAAGGCGGUUAGCUGGGCAGUUGCUGACACUGAGGCGCGACAGCGUGGGGAGCAAACAGG
This 253-nucleotide ribosomal RNA is filed under the name uncultured bacterium. RNAcentral describes it as "partial 16S ribosomal RNA". It matches the Rfam family "Bacterial small subunit ribosomal RNA", at positions 524 to 776 of the family's 1533-position model. The record is from RNAcentral.